This 253-nucleotide ribosomal RNA is filed under the name uncultured bacterium. Its description in RNAcentral is "partial 16S ribosomal RNA". It matches the Rfam family "Bacterial small subunit ribosomal RNA", at positions 524 to 776 of the family's 1533-position model. The record is from RNAcentral.
UACGAAGGGGGCUAGCGUUGCUCGGAAUCACUGGGCGUAAAGGGUGCGUAGGCGGCUCUUUAAGUCAGGGGUGAAAUCCCGGAGCUCAACUCCAGAACUGCCUUUGAUACUGAAGAUCUUGAGUUCGGGAGAGGUGAGUGGAACUGCGAGUGUAGAGGUGAAAUUCGUAGAUAUUCGCAAGAACACCAGUGGCGAAGGCGGCUCACUGGCCCGAUACUGACGCUGAGGCACGAAAGCGUGGGGAGCAAACAGG